RNAcentral lists this ribosomal RNA (373 nucleotides) under uncultured bacterium. RNAcentral describes it as "bacterial SSU rRNA". It matches the Rfam family "Bacterial small subunit ribosomal RNA", at positions 525 to 896 of the family's 1533-position model. The record is from RNAcentral.
ACGUAGGGGGCAAGCGUUGUCCGGAGUUACUGGGCGUAAAGCGCCCGCAGGCGGUCUUCUAAGUUCAGACUGACAAUCCCCAGCUUCACUGGGGAGGGUGUAUGAAAACUGGGAGACUUGAGGGAUAGAGAGGGACAUGGAAUUCCGGGUGGAGUGGUGAAAUGCGUAGAUAUCCGGAGGAACACCAAAGGCGAAGGCAAUGUCCUGGCUAUUUCCUGACGCUCAGGGGCGAAAGCUAGGGGAGCGAACGGGAUUAGAUACCCCGGUAGUCCUAGCCGUAAACGAUGACCACUAGAUGUUCGGGGUAUCGACCCCCUGAGUAUCGAAGCUAACGCGAGAAGUGGUCCGCCUGGGGAGUACGGUCGCAAGAUUA